GCUCCGAGGAGGAGGACGAGGACUUUGACGAGCGGCCCGAGGGCCGGCGUCAGUCCAAGCGGCAGCUGCGGAACGAGAAGGACAAACCCCUCCCCCCACUGCUGGCCCGGGUGGGCGGCAACAUCGAGGUGCUGGGGUUCAACACGAGGCAGCGCAAGGCCUUCCUGAACGC
Long non-coding RNA from Onychostruthus taczanowskii (white-rumped snowfinch), 172 nucleotides. RefSeq lists it as uncharacterized. NCBI's taxonomy places the organism in Eukaryota, Metazoa, Chordata, Aves, Passeriformes, Passeridae. The transcript is spliced from 3 exons. The record is from RefSeq and is a predicted model, not a curated record.